Molecule: ribosomal RNA, 384 nt
Filed under: uncultured bacterium
Lineage: Bacteria
Description: bacterial SSU rRNA
Rfam family: Bacterial small subunit ribosomal RNA
Source: RNAcentral
AUUGAACGCUGGCGGCAUGCCUUACACAUGCAAGUCGAACGGCAGCACGGGGGCAACCCUGGUGGCGAGUGGCGAACGGGUGAGUAACAUAUCGGAACAUACCCUAGAGUGGGGGAUAACGUAGCGAAAGUUACGCUAAUACCGCAUACGAUCUAAGGAUGAAAGUGGGGGGAUCUUCGGACCUCAUGCUCAUGGAGUGGCCGAUAUCUGAUUAGCUAGUUGGUGAGGUAAAGGCUCACCAAGGCGACGAUCAGUAGCUGGUUUGAGAGAAUGACCAGCCACACUGGAACUGAGACACGGUCCAGACUCCUACGGGAGGCAGCAGUGGGGAAUUUUGGACAAUGGGGCAACCCUGAUCCAGCACUGCCGCGUGAGUGAAGAAGG